RNAcentral lists this ribosomal RNA (294 nucleotides) under Acinetobacter pittii. Its description in RNAcentral is "partial 16S ribosomal RNA". It matches the Rfam family "Bacterial small subunit ribosomal RNA", at positions 1 to 298 of the family's 1533-position model. The record is from RNAcentral. Lineage: Bacteria; Pseudomonadati; Pseudomonadota; Gammaproteobacteria; Moraxellales; Moraxellaceae.
AACUGAAGAGUUUGAUCAUGGCUCAGAUUGAACGCUGGCGGCAGGCUUAACACAUGCAAGUCGAGCGGAGAGAGGUAGCUUGCUACUGAUCUUAGCGGCGGACGGGUGAGUAAUGCUUAGGAAUCUGCCUAUUAGUGGGGGACAACAUUUCGAAAGGAAUGCUAAUACCGCAUACGUCCUACGGGAGAAAGCAGGGGAUCUUCGGACCUUGCGCUAAUAGAUGAGCCUAAGUCGGAUUAGCUAGUUGGUGGGGUAAAGGCCUACCAAGGCGACGAUCUGUAGCGGGUCUGAGAG